GAUGAAGAACGUAGCGAAAUGCGAUAAGUAAUGCGAAUUGCAGAAUUCCGUGAGUCAUCGAAUCUUUGAACGCACAUUGCGCCCUCUGGUAUUCCGGAGGGCAUGCCUGUCUGAGCGUCAUUGUCAACCCUCAAGCUCAGCUUGCUGUUGGGUCCCCGUCGUUGCUUUAACGGCGGACCCGAAAGGUAAUGGCAGAGUCCGUGAGACCCUAGACGCAGCGAGCUUCUAGCACGCGUCUGGACGUUUUUCGGGCUCGGUCUUAACUAGAUGAUAACUUCCGAUUGACCUCAGAUCAGGUAGGGGUACCCGCUGAACUUAAGCAUAUCAAUAAGCGGAGGA
RNAcentral lists this unclassified non-coding RNA (339 nucleotides) under soil metagenome. RNAcentral's name for it is "partial contains 5.8S ribosomal RNA, internal transcribed spacer 2, and large subunit ribosomal RNA". The stretch from base 1 to 120 matches the Rfam family "5.8S ribosomal RNA", at positions 35 to 154 of the family's 154-position model. The record is from RNAcentral.